This is a small nucleolar RNA of Cavia porcellus (domestic guinea pig), 124 nucleotides long. The record is from Ensembl. NCBI's taxonomy places the organism in Eukaryota, Metazoa, Chordata, Mammalia, Rodentia, Caviidae.
AGCAUUUGUGUGUGCUUUGUUUAACUUGUGAACAAAGACUUACAGAUAGCAAAAAAAAAAGAGCUCCUCCUUUGAAACUCAGAGCUCAUUGUUCACCAUGAGUUUUGAUGUAUAUAAGAAUAUG